This 743-nucleotide ribosomal RNA is filed under the name uncultured Streptococcus sp. RNAcentral describes it as "bacterial SSU rRNA". It matches the Rfam family "Bacterial small subunit ribosomal RNA", at positions 28 to 757 of the family's 1533-position model. Lineage: Bacteria; Bacillati; Bacillota; Bacilli; Lactobacillales; Streptococcaceae. The record is from RNAcentral.
GACGAACGCUGGCGGCGUGCCUAAUACAUGCAAGUAGAACGCACAGUUUAUACCGUAGCUUGCUACACCAUAGACUGUGAGUUGCUAACGGGUGAGUAACGCGUAGGUAACCUGCCUGGUAGCGGGGGAUAACUAUUGGAAACGAUAGCUAAUACCGCAUAAUAUUAAUUAUUGCAUGAUAAUUGAUUGAAAGGUGCAAAUGCAUCACUACCAGAUGGACCUGCGUUGUAUUAGCUAGUAGGGUGAGGUAACGGCUCACCUAGGCGACGAUACAUAGCCGACCUGAGGAGGGGUGAUCGGGCCACACUGGGGACUGAGACACGGCCCAGACCUCCCUACGGGGAGGGCAGCAGUAAGGGAAAUCUUUCGGGCAAUGGGACGAAAAGUCUGAACCGAGCAACGCCGCGUGAAUGGAAGAAAGGUUUUUCGGGAUCGUAAGCUCUGUUGUAAAAAAAAACGGGUGUGAAAUGGAAAGUUCCACUGUGACGGUUCUAACCGAAAGGGACGGUAAUUCCGUGCCGCAUCGCGGUAUACCUAGUUCCGACGUUGGUCCGGAAUUAAUGGGGCGUAAGCCGAGCGCGGCCGUUAUAAGGUCUGAGUUGAAGGCGUGUGCCUAACAUUGUGUGCUUUGAGACUGUAUAACUAGAAGCGAAGGGAAUUGCACUCCGCUGAGCGUUAGUGAUAUACAAGAAGAGACCCUGCUGUUGCACUUUUCUCUGGGUGCGGAGACGCCAGGUCACGUU